This 463-nucleotide ribosomal RNA is filed under the name uncultured bacterium. RNAcentral describes it as "partial 16S ribosomal RNA". It matches the Rfam family "Bacterial small subunit ribosomal RNA", at positions 29 to 507 of the family's 1533-position model. The record is from RNAcentral.
AGUGAACGCUGGCGGCGUGCUUAAUACAUGCAAGUCGAACGAUGAAGUCCUAGCUUGCUAGGAUGGAUUAGUGGCGCACGGGUGAGUAAUAUAUAGUUAAUCUGCCUUGCACUGAGGAACAACAGUUGGAAACGAUUGCUAAUACCUCAUACUCCAACUUUACAUAAGUUAAGUUGGGAAAGUCUUUUCGGUGCAAGAUGAGACUAUAUCGUAUCAGCUAGUUGGUAAGGUAAUGGCUUACCAAGGCUAUGACGCGUAACUGGUCUGAGAGGAUGAUCAGUCACAUUGGAACUGAGACACGGUCCAAACUCCUACGGGAGGCAGCAGUAAGGAAUAUUGGGCAAUGGGGGAAACCCUGACGCAGCAACGCCGCGUGGAGGAUGACACUUUUCGGAGCGUAAACUCCUUUUGUUAGGGAAGAAUAAUGACGGUACCUAACGAAUAAGCACCGGCUAACUCCGUG